This 521-nucleotide ribosomal RNA is filed under the name Phylladiorhynchus integrirostris. Its description in RNAcentral is "partial large subunit ribosomal RNA". It matches the Rfam family "Bacterial large subunit ribosomal RNA", at positions 1829 to 2597 of the family's 2925-position model. The record is from RNAcentral. Lineage: Eukaryota; Metazoa; Arthropoda; Malacostraca; Decapoda; Galatheidae.
CUCUAUAUGAAGUUAUAUAUAGUCUAGCCUGCCCACUGAACAUUUUAAAGGCCGCAGUAUAUUAACUGUGCAAAGGUAGCAUAAUAAUUAGUUUUUUAAUUGAAAGCUUGAAUGAACGGCUGGACGAGGAAAAAUCUGUCUCAAAACUUGUUUUAAAAAUUUACUUUUAAGUAAAAAGGCUUAAAUAAUUUUAAGGGACGAUAAGACCCUAUAAAUCUUUAUAAAUUAGUUUUAAAGUAUUUUAAUGAAGUGUUUAAUUAAUUUUAAAAUCAUAUUUAUUUUGUUGGGGCGACAAGAAUAUUUAAUAAAAAAAACUAUACUAAUUUAAAACAUAAAUUUUUGAAUUAAAUAAUAGACCCUUUAAAUAGUAAGGAGUUUAAAAUUAAGUUACUUUAGGGAUAACAGCGUAAUUUUUUUAAAGAGUUCCUAUCGACAAAAAAGUUUGCGACCUCGAUGUUGAAUUAAAAUUUCUUGUUAGUGCAGAAGCUGUUCAAGUAAGUCUGUUCGACUUUUAAAAUUUU